Molecule: transfer RNA, 24 nt
Filed under: Hiraea smilacina
Lineage: Eukaryota; Viridiplantae; Streptophyta; Magnoliopsida; Malpighiales; Malpighiaceae
Description: partial tRNA-His
Source: RNAcentral
GGCGGAUUAGCCAAGUUCGAUCGU